Molecule: ribosomal RNA, 274 nt
Filed under: uncultured bacterium
Lineage: Bacteria
Description: partial 16S ribosomal RNA
Rfam family: Bacterial small subunit ribosomal RNA
Source: RNAcentral
AUACGGAGGGUGCAAGCGUUAUCCGGAAUCAUUGGGUUUAAAGGGUCCGCAGGCGGAUUAAUAAGUCAGUGGUGAAAUCCUCUCGCUCAACGAGAGGACUGCCAUUGAAACUGUUAGUCUUGAAUUCGGUCGAAGUAGGCGGAAUGUGUCAUGUAGCGGUGAAAUGCAUAGAUAUGACACAGAACACCGAUAGCGAAGGCAGCUUACUAGACCUGGAUUGACGCUCAUGGACGAAAGCGUGGGGAGCGAACAGGAUUAGAUACCCUAGUAGUCC